UAUUGCACAAUGGGCGCAAGCCCGAUGCAGCCAUGCCGCGUGUGUGAAGAAGGCCUUCGGGUUGUAAAGCACUUUCGGCGAGGAGGAAGGGUAGUGUGUUAAUAGCACAUUGCAUUGACGUUACUCGCAGAAGAAGCACCGGCUAACUCCUUGCCAGCAGCCGCGGUAAUACGGAGGGUGCAAGCGUUAAUCGGAAUUACUGGGCGCAAAGCGCACGCAGGCGGUUUGUUAAGUCAGAUGUGAAAUCCCCGCGCUUAACGUGGGAACUGCAUUUGAAACUGGUAAGCUAGAGUCUUGUAGAGGGGGGUAGAAUUCCAGGUGUAGCGGUGAAAUGCGUAGAGAUCUGGAGGAAUACCGGUGGCGAAGGCGGCCCCCUGGACAAAGACUGACGCUCAGUGCGAAG
Molecule: ribosomal RNA, 403 nt
Filed under: uncultured bacterium
Lineage: Bacteria
Description: bacterial SSU rRNA
Rfam family: Bacterial small subunit ribosomal RNA
Source: RNAcentral